CCCAACGGCCCAACCCCACUACAACAUGAUUUAAAAAUUAAAUUAUUUAAUGAAAAUCUUAAAUUAGUGUUACCAUUUGGUAAAAAACUUUAAAAGUCAAAUUUAAUAAACAUUAUCAACUUACUAUACGUGUCAAUACCAAGAGAGCCCAUCUUCCUUCAUUCUUUCCCCGGAAGCACCUGCCAGAACCAGAUCACAAUGAAGUUGUUGCAAGUCUUUGAUACUAAUUGGUUCAAUAAAGGUAAAAUGUCUUGGGAAUAAAAGAGAUUAACCUUCAAAUGUUGGUUACGAAGGAUCGGGCUUGUUACCAAUGCCGGUAGCAUAUUCAUUCGUACCACAUAUGCAAGUGCGCACGUGGUCCAUUGACCUUGUUAAUUUGGAAUUUAUAAUUAAUUAGCAGAGAAAUCCAUGAUUGAAGAAGCAACCAAAUCCAUCGUUUGGUCAAAUAAGAAUGUCCGCUUAAUUAGUAAUUUCUUUGCAGUUUCCUUCUCCCAGUGCAAAAGUCCAUAAACUCAAUUAAACAAAAUUGGUCUUUUGUUGAGGGUACAACAUCAACAAAAUUCACACAGAAGAAACAAAAAACAGUUCUUAAGUUGCCAUCAGACGAGAGAUUAGCUAUUGAAAACACAUUCUUGGAGUUGGAGGCCCACCUCCAAACAGAGGCCAUCUGUGAAAUGGACCACUGUUAUCAGUCUGGGGUACCAACUUGUGAGCCCGUUGCAUCACGAAACUCACAUUGAAAGAGACCAUCACAUGCUCAGCUGUGGCUCUGCUUAUUUAAACAAUUAAAUGAAAAAGAUCAACGCAUCCAAGUCUAUUAUAACAUUACUUCGUACCAAUUAAGGCCGUAAGAACGGUAUUAUAUUUGUUUCCCAGGUGUAAACCAUGAACUUCAAAAUUAGACUUGAAAUCAUAUACCAGGAUUUGGAUGCACAUUGCAGUAGCUCCAUCAAGAGGGGAAAAAAAAUUCAAAAAUCACGACCGUUUUUCCCCCAUAACACAAUAUCCAGCCUUUCGAUAUUCACAAGUUCUAAUAAUUGCAAUUAGUUGCUCUCAAAAUAUCUUUCCUUUAAAUAUGGGAGCAAGUACAAAGAUGAGCCAAAGCAGUAAAGGCCUUGUGCCAUCCAACUAUGCUUAUGUGCAAGGGUGCUCUGGCAGGGACCCAUACAAUGGCUGCUGAAAUCAUAAUCCUGCAAGCAGUUGGUCAUGUAGCUAUCACAAUGAAUUUCAUCAAUCCAACCAGUAAACACAACUUGAGGAACAUUUCAGCUCAAGUGGCUUGCAUCCACUAUAAUUUUGGAAUUGACAAAUCAUCAAUAGUGAUAAUUCAUCAACUACAAGAAGAUUAUCAGAUUUUGUCCUUAAGCGGCUAAAGUUCAUAGAUGCUACAUACAUGCUAGCAACAGUGCCUCGGCCACUGCUAUAUUUUGAUCCAUCGAAUGCAUAAUUUCUGUAGGAACUCUUCAGCAUUAUCAUUCCAAUUAAAGCCACCAUGAAGAUUUGAUUUCACCCAAUAAGGCAAUAACACACAAGACUAGACAAAACUUUAUCAAACUUUUGGAAACAAACUCAGGAAAAUCUAAAGGGUUAAAACAGAAAUGGUUAUACAUAAUUUCAGCUGUGCUCUUGAAAAUACAAUAAAAUGAGAAGGUUCCAAAAACAUUAGAUCAGCACAAAAGAUAGGAAACAAGUUCCAUCUGUAAAUUGACAGGGUAAAUGGUCCAAUCAUAUCAACCCCGCACACCUGUAUGGUACUCAAAACGGUGAACCAAACUUGGGACUCAGUACCAUGUGUAAGCAAGGCCCACCUGCUCUUUUCUAUUCUCAAUGAGAUCUUAUCUCUCAUCCAUUUCAUAAGGAAAAUGACAUGUGGUAUUGGAGAAAAUGAAAAAGAGAUGGGAAGUGUAAAUCUCACUCAUAAGAAAUACUAGGCUUACAACGUUGAGAUACAAAAUUUGUAUUAUAAAUGAAGCGCACUUGAUGUGUCAUUCAUUGACUGCUGCUCUAAAUCUAAAAUAUUAGAUUAAUGAUGGAGUAAAAGAGUCAGCUAUUUCCUAACAAGCAGCAGUCAAUGGUUGAUAACGCAUAUUUAGUUUGUGUUACAAAAGUCAGCUAUUUCCUAACAAGCAGCUGUCAAUGAUUGCUAAUGCAUAUUUAGUUUGUGUUACAACGUUAUAAGCACUAGCAUUUUAGUGAUUCCAUUCAACAAUUAAAGAUAAAAAUAUCAAAUUACAUAAAAUGUUCGAAUUUCUUAAUUUCCAAUCACUGUCAUCAUAAAUUGCCUUAUUUACAUUUCUAAUCAUAAGUAAUUAAAUGUUUAGCAUAACAUUCAAGCAAUAAUGUAAUUUAUUGACAAGAAAAAAAUGCAAAUCAUUCACCAUUGAAAUGUAUUCAGCAUCCCCCCCCCCCAAAAAAAAAAUGUCUAAGAUAAGCAGCUAGAACAGUGAAGCUGUUGACUGUUGAACUUUUUCUUCUGGUUGAGGACUACUAGCUUAAAAUCAUGACAUUCGACUAAUAUGGUACAUAGGAUAAAUCUAGGAAAAACACUUAGUAUUCACAUAAAGCUUAACAUCCUAUAACUAAAAUAUUUAGGGAAACAACUAGAACAUUUAAGUUUUCCAAUUUUCCUUCAUUGCUUUAGUUCUUCUGUUCAUUAAAGAAUGCCAAAGAAAAUAAGUGAGUCAUAUAAUAAACCAAGCUAAGGUAGAAAAUAAUUGAGUAAUAUAACAAACCAAGGUAAGAUAGGCCCUACAUGCUAAUAGAAAGCUCAGAGGAUCCUCAAACUAGAUAAAGCCUCCAGUCCUAGAAGCAUUCAGAGCCCUUGCACUUGCAUGAGAAGAUCAUACUUUCCAUUAGUAAUUCUCUUCGAAAUGACAGUGCGACUAAUAAACAAUUGUAGGUAAAGAACAGGAAAGAUCUUACAGUGGUGUCAGACAAAUACAUUUCAGGUAUAAAGAUUACCUUCAAAUCUCCAAACAAGGCAUCCCACAAAACAGUAAAAUUCUUGGUAAUGCUCAAAAUAUCUAUGUUAACCUCAAACAGGAAUUUAUAUGCUUACACUCAGCCAAUCAAACUCCAGAUUUCAUUUGUGCUUACCCCACUCUGCCAGGCCACCUGACAAAGGUCAUCAACACUAAUGCAUCUAAACCGUUAGAACAAGUAAAAACUAAAAUAUUUGUAUUAUAUUAUGGUGUCCAACUACAGGCAACAAUUUAAGCUUGAAGAUGGUUUUCAGAUAUCUGGGUUUGGAGGCGAGCACAAGUUGGGUUAGUACUCAACCUAACCCCACCAUGGGCAAGUUGAGAAUUUUCUACCCGUACCAUCCCACCAAACCAAAGUAUCGGGUUGUGAAAAAUUAAAACUAACCUAUCCAAAUUAUUUUGCUCAACUCAAACCCACCUUGAACUGAUCCAAGUGGGUUGAUGGGGGUUGACUAGGUUGCCAAGUUUUUGUCUGCUAUCUGAUUUAAUAUUUCCAACAGAGAUGUACCUCAACAAGAUAUAUAUGGCCAAGAUCAAGUACAACCAGCAAGUUUGGUCAUGGAAGCUAAUUAGUAUGAAUGUACAUAAUCUGAGUUAGCAUUUAAACACUAAUAAUGAUUAAAUAACUCAAGUAACAGGUACUAUAGAGAAUUGACAAGUAAUUAGGAGUACACAGGUAAAAUGCUCUUUGGAACUUAAUCAACAAAAUGUUCCACACAAACUUCAUAAAAACAACAGACCUAUCCUUCUUUUAAAGCAAGUAUCUUUAAGGCAUAUAAAGAUAACAGAAUCCAGCAAAGAGGUAGAAUUGACAAUCAAAGAAGAAGCUUCCUCCACAAAACGUGACACACACAUAAGUCCAUUUUUGACAACUAAAAAGCCAGUGGUCCUUACCAGAACCAUUAAAGCACACGAAACAGCAGUGAAGCCUGGAGCAUAGAUCCCACAAGUCAAUAACUAGAGAAAGCCAUAUUUAACUGCCAUUGGCAUGACGAAUAUGUAAUCACCAAAUCAUUUGAUUAAUUCAAGAAAAUCUUGAUAACACCUGAGAACAAUAAAAUUAAACAUGACAACUCUAUCUUCUGCUCCUCUUAUUAUUAAUUCUUGUAUUGCUAGGAGCACAGUUCAGAAGCAGAUAGAUAAUAUGAAAGUUAUGUAUUUAAACAAUUACAAGUGAGACAGCCAGGAUAAAAAUGAUGAGCAAUCAAGAAUUAAAGAUACCAUACAGAGCCUAUUACAGAAAAUGGAAAUAAAUUGAAUACAACUUGAUGAAAUCAGCUUAUAUUAAAUUAAAAAAUAUAUACCCUCCAAUAAUAGGAUUGUUUGAGGGAAAUAAGAUCAUUAUUGCCAAAUUUGAGCCCUCUAAAACUAUGCUCAAUGUUCAUCAAACAAACUUACAAAUAUAAUUUAAACCAUCAAAAGAGGCUGAGUCAAGGUACUUUGCUCUUUAUUCUUGACAAACACAUACUCUAGAUGCUAUGAUAAUGAACAAUAAAAAAUACACUCAGUGUGUGUUAUGCACGUUUGAUGAAAUGAUCAACUAGAUUUAGCAUAAAAUGCAUCGUUUAUGGAACAUAAAUCCAAGAACAAAUGUGGCUUUAAAGUAUUCAUUUAAGUGACACAAACUUUAUUCUGUUAUGCACACAACCAGCAGCACCAUCAUUUAGAAUGCCAUCAUAUCAUCAAUAACCUUCUUUUAAUGAUUACCAAUUUCUGCAACCUUAAUUUAACGAAGGCAAUUUCAAGGAAAAUAACACUUUCCACAUGAUUUUCUGAUAUUGAAAACCAGAAAAAAAAUUACUAGAAAAAUUGUUGUAAUGACCAAUGAUAAAUGUUAUCAAACAAUGAUAGACAGCAACUGGGCCAGAGACAUGGUCAAUAAUAGUUCAUGAUUAGUUACAGUCAUGGAUCACUGUCGAUAUUGAUUGUGCCCAAAAAUGUUGUUGAUGAUUGUAAGGACAAAAUGUGGAAUCAAUAAUGUCACAGAUCAAUAAUAAUCACUAUUGAUGGUGGAUAUUAAUAAAAUUCACUAACAUUGACCAAAAUGAUGAUGAUUGAAUGGGAACAACAAUGACCACCAGCGGUUAUUUGGCAACUAUAAGAGUUUCUAAUACAAUUUCAAAAAUAGGUUGUAUAUUUGCAGAAAUCUGACUGGAAUUUAAGCAUUGAUAUUUCGUUGACUCUCAAAUAUUUAUUUCCCAUGUAGCACCAGAAAAAAACAAAAUAUAUUCUCUCAUGCAAAUCAGUUAGAGUGAAAUAAACAGAACAUUAAUUCUAUUUAUUUUACCAUUUCCCUUACCACCACUGCUGCCGCCACAGCCAACAUCACCAAAGCGCAAAACCAUUAGACUUCACUAAUCCUACAUCCCAGUUAUAAUCACUAACGUUUUAUGCCACUCAACCCAUUGGAACUCAAAAAAACUCAUCUACAAAGAAAAUCAAGAACAACACAAUUCCCAUCCAUGAUGCUUUAAUCCUAUAGUGGAGUUUCUCAUACAAAUGGUAGUUUUCUAACCAAUAAUUUUAUGAUUACAAGGCGAUUGAAAUCUAGAUAUUUCACAAGCUUCAACAUAUAUAUUUAGGAAAGUCUUGAAAAGGAGAAAAUUUCAGUCCCUAAUGCUAGGUUCUCCACUCAUAUCACACAAUAUCAAGUUCUAAAACUUUAAACGGUAAGUGGCAGAUAUGUACAAAAAAUAGCAAUUCAGCUGAAAAGCUACCAGUCAUUUUCUGAGAAGAUGCUCUCACACAGCUUAGGGAAUUGAAACCACAAACAAGUUUUCGACCUUAGGGAUUUAUCAAUAGUUUGUAACUAACCCCAAAAAGACAUUUGUUGAUGAGUGUUUUUAUAAAACUUAGCUUAAGAUCUAUUUCUGUUAUACUAGGAAAUCCUCUUGGUCUCACUAGCUGGUCAGUGAGUUUGGACCUCUCACCUCCUGGUUGGAAAUCAAGAGUAUUCCCCAUCGAGCCAACCUAAGAUUAAUAUGAAGAUCUACUACUGGCAUGUUCUUCAUUUUUCCUUGUAACCCCUCCAUUUUUGUUAACUUAACCAACUAUGUUCUGGAACUAUAACAUUAUAGACGAACCCAUACAAAAUGAGUUGCUAGAGUUGGAUUUUGGAAUGCACAUUGAUGUAGAAAAUCUUCUCAUCAGUCAGUUUCCCGUUUUGAAGAUAACGUGACAGAAGCCCACCAUCACAAUUACCGAAAUAUCAACUCUCAUCCUGAUUCUUUUGAAAAAGAACUCUAAGAAAUUUCUUUUAGUUGCUCAUUCUAGAAGGCACUUCAAAGUAUUGGUUCCGAGCAUCACACAUACAAUCAUACUCAAUUCGAUGGAAGGUAAUUUCUAACUAUAAUUCCGUAGCUCCUAAUUGUAAAACCCAUGUCGAUGAAGGAUACCCUAUUCCCACAUAUCUCACACACAGGUAAUGGGUUUCAUGCUCUCCAAACUCUCCAGAAACAUUUCCUGAUUGGUGUCUGCAAAAAUAAUGAAUCACAAACCAGAUACAAUCAUUUCCUAAAUAAAAUUGGUGUCUCCCCUCAUUCUAAUCAUAAGUAAUUAAAUGUUUAGCAUAACCAGAUACAAUUUCCAAUUUCCUGAUUGGUGUCUCCCCUCAUUCUCAACCGUAACCGCAACCAUUUCCUAAAUAAUUCAUGGUGGAAUAUGAAUGCCAAUCCAGGAAAUACAAUCAAGCAAGAAAGUACAUUCCAAGUCCACCUUCUAUCGUUUACCUACACUCAAGAGACCAAUUAAGUGUCAUUUGUCUUGUGGAUCCACAUACCGUGCGCUUCUUGCUAACAAAUAAGGAGCUGUGAUCCUAGGUCCCCAACUCAGGGCAGGUAGAACUUCUAAAAACCUGAACUUUUUUAUUUCACUAGUCCACAGAUUUCAUGUAUACAUUCCCUAGAUCCAAAAAUGAACUAAUCAUUAGUUUUCAAUUCAGGCACAUAACAAAAUAUUGAAUGGAAGAAAACAUUAAAGGAAUGAACUUUGUAGGGCACAUGAUAUAGGUUAUAAAGAGAAU
This 7002-nucleotide long non-coding RNA is filed under the name Citrus x clementina. Its description in RNAcentral is "Citrus clementina (C. clementina) long non-coding RNA (CCLE_LNC002050)". The record is from RNAcentral. Lineage: Eukaryota; Viridiplantae; Streptophyta; Magnoliopsida; Sapindales; Rutaceae.